UGGGGAAUAUUGCACAAUGGGCGAAAGCCUGAUGCAGCGACGCCGCGUGAGGGAUGACGGCCUUCGGGUUGUAAACCUCUUUCAGCAGGGACGAAGCGCAAGUGACGGUACCUGCAGAAGAAGCACCGGCUAACUACGUGCCAGCAGCCGCGGUAAUACGUAGGGUGCAAGCGUUGUCCGGAAUUACUGGGCGUAAAGAGUUCGUAGGCGGUGUGUCGCGUCGUUUGUGAAAACCAGCAGCUCAACUGCUGGCUUGCAGGCGAUACGGGCAGACUUGAGUACUGCAGGGGAGACUGGAAUUCCUGGUGUAGCGGUGAAAUGCGCAGAUAUCAGGAGGAACACCGGUGGCGAAGGCGGGUCUCUGGGCAGUAACUGACGCUGAGGAACGAAAGCGUGGGUAGCGAACAGG
Molecule: ribosomal RNA, 409 nt
Filed under: bacterium
Lineage: Bacteria
Description: partial 16S ribosomal RNA
Rfam family: Bacterial small subunit ribosomal RNA
Source: RNAcentral